This 349-nucleotide ribosomal RNA is filed under the name uncultured eukaryote. RNAcentral describes it as "partial 18S ribosomal RNA". It matches the Rfam family "Eukaryotic small subunit ribosomal RNA", at positions 592 to 976 of the family's 1831-position model. The record is from RNAcentral.
CAAUAGCGUAUAUUAAAGUUGUUGCGGUUAAAAAGCUCGUAGUUGGAUUUCUGCUGAGAACGACCGGUCCGCCCUUUGGGUGUGUAUCUGGCUCUUUCUUGGCAUCUUCUUGGUGAACGUUGCUGCACUUGACUGUGUGGAGCGCUACCCAGGACUUUUACUUUGAGGAAAUUAGAGUGUUUCAAGCAGGCAUACGCCUUGAAUACAUUAGCAUGGAAUAAUAAGAUAGGACCUCGGUUCUAUUUUGUUGGUUUCUAGAGCUGAGGUAAUGAUUAAUAGGGAUAGUUGGGGGCAUUCGUAUUUAAAGACGGACUACUGCGAAAGCAUUUGCCAAGGAUGUUUUCAUUGA